RNAcentral lists this long non-coding RNA (439 nucleotides) under Rattus norvegicus (Norway rat). RNAcentral's name for it is "long non-coding RNA NONRATT033547". The record is from RNAcentral. Lineage: Eukaryota; Metazoa; Chordata; Mammalia; Rodentia; Muridae.
AAAUAGUUCAGAUUAGAGUUGUAGGAGGCAGGCACAGAGUUUAUAAUAGAAUAAAGGAGGAUACUCUAGGGGAGGACAGUAGACAAUGGCUAGAGAGACAAUUGUUCUAGCAGAUGCACUUUAUAGUAUUUCUUGUCAUUUCUGCAUUGGACAGUUUGUCUAGAGGCAAUUUUCUAUCCAGAUUGUCUGAGAAUUCCCCUUUUGGCUGUCAGAAGCUUUGAACCAUUGAGUGAAGAGAAGUCUGGCACAGAGACUCUGGUUUCGAGGAGCUGACACUAUCCAGCUUUUAGUCCUACACUGUAAAAUUAAAUAGGGCCAUGCCUAAAUACACUCGAGGAGCUCGGCAUUGACACACUCAGUUUCAAAAAUCACCAGGAGAACACAUGUUCCCUCUCACCAUGGAGAAAUAAAACUGGUAAUUGUUGCAACUUACCCAGUA